This 402-nucleotide ribosomal RNA is filed under the name uncultured bacterium. RNAcentral's name for it is "bacterial SSU rRNA". It matches the Rfam family "Bacterial small subunit ribosomal RNA", at positions 355 to 774 of the family's 1533-position model. The record is from RNAcentral.
UGGGGAAUCUUGCACAAUGGGGGCAACCCUGAUGCAGCGACGCCGCGUGAGCGAUGAAGCCCUUCGGGGUGUAAAGCUCUUUCGACCGGAACGAUAAUGACAGUACCGGGAGAAGAAGCUGCGGCUAACUACGUGCCAGCAGCCGCGGUAAUACGUAGGCAGCAAGCGUUGUUCGGAGUUACUGGGCGUAAAGAGUGCGUAGGCGGUUUUCUAAGUUCGGUGUGAAAUCUCCCGGCUUAACUGGGAGGGUGCGCCGAAGACUGGGAAGCUGGAGUGUGGGAAAGGCAGGCGGAAUUCCUGGUGUAGCGGUGAAAUGCGUAGAUAUCAGGAGGAACACCGGCGGUGUAGACGGCUUGCUAGACCAUAACUGACGCUGAGGCACGAAAGCGUGGGUAGCAAACA